Molecule: unclassified non-coding RNA, 1445 nt
Filed under: Hevea brasiliensis (rubber tree)
Lineage: Eukaryota; Viridiplantae; Streptophyta; Magnoliopsida; Malpighiales; Euphorbiaceae
Source: RNAcentral
GCUAUGUGCAAUUUUUUUAGUUGAAUUCUUGACUAUAUCAAAUAGAUGAGAAUUGAAAUAACACAUAAAUGAGGUUACUUGAAGGUUUUUGCAUCGCCAAAAAGAAUUAUUUUUUACAAUACUACCCAGUCCCCAAUCCAGAAAAGAAAAAGAGAAAAGCUCUAUAGGCUAUAGCUUUUCAAAUGAUCAUAAAUAACCAGAAUUUUUUUCUGCAUUUGAUAUCCACUGGGACUAUUUCCUUUUCAACAAAAAGCGGUUAUUAGGAUGAUGAAGAAGAAGCUGAUUUUGAUGUCUGGUUGCUGCAGAAUUGGAAGAUAUUCUCACCCAUCUUCUCCACCACAAAAUGAGCAAGCAUGUCAUUAGCUUCCACCAAGUUCUCUCUGCAUAAGAAUUCAUCCCCAUAUACUUUCUCCACAUCUCUGUAAUAAUCAUGCACAAAUAUAUGGGUCUUGCCAUUUCCUCCUUUCUUGCUUCUUGCUAGCACUCCAGCUGUGAAGAUUGGUGUCAUCCUCCCUGGCCCUUCUGGUCCGUCCCCUCGAGGUCCAUCGAUCAAUAUCACAUCCCAAUCCACCUCAUAAACGUGAUUAGGCAAGUCAUUAAUCCCAAGCUUACACUCUGAGAAGAGUAGAUUCUGAACUGGCCUGCAUUCGUUGCGUAUUUGAUCCCUAGUGGAGGCUAUGAGUUCUCUGAAUUCUCCCAUUUUUGUUGUGUAUUGAACAUCAAACACAUCAACUUCAGGGUGUAACUCUUCGAAAUAGGCAGCGUAGUAUCUGUUUUCAUCGAUGAAAACUGUGCGGCCAUUGUGGUUUAGGGCUUUCCAGAGAAGGGUUUCGUGUGUUAGGCCAAAAACGAGAAAGUUACAUGGAGAAGAACACCUUCUAAGGACAUCAGAUAUAGGUUUGAUUUCGGAGUAAGACAUGUGGAAACUGUCAUUGGAUCUUGAGGCAUAGUAGAGGAGAGUAUUGAUGACAGUGGUAGGCAAUGGUGUGGUGGGGGAUAUAGAGGAUGUGGAAGCAGAAGCCAAGGCAGUGGUGGAUUUGGUAGGCAAAGACUCUCUAGUGUAGAUAAGAGUAACAAGAAAGGCAAUAGUGAAGAAAGAGACAAAGGCAAGGAGCCAUAAGCGAUUGGAGCUUCCUUGCUUUUGGAUAUAGGGGUGAAGAAGAAUAAGCCUUGUGUUAUUGUUAUUGCUCUUCAUCUUUUCUUGUGCAAGAGAGGUACUGCAAAACCCUUCUCUUGUUCUUGGAGUUGGUGGCCAAGAUUUAGAAUCUUGAUGGAAAUGAGAGCAGAAGGGAAUGAUUUAAAGAUGAGUUAGCUCGAGAGGCAUAACUCAUAAGGAUAUGCUUUAAAGUAACAGUACAGGAUCAGCAAAUACUAAUAUGACAUUAGUCAUCAUACAUUAAUCAACCAAAUAGCAUUCUAGAGACCUAAUUACAACAAAUUUUGAA